Molecule: long non-coding RNA, 159 nt
Organism: Orcinus orca (killer whale)
Lineage: Eukaryota; Metazoa; Chordata; Mammalia; Artiodactyla; Delphinidae
Exons: 2
Source: RefSeq, a predicted model, not a curated record
CCGAAGGACCCUCUAGGCGUCAGAAGCUCUUUGCACACAGUAUGGUGGAGGAGUUUUGGGGACGUGUUUUGACUGGAGUCGUCUUCUUCAGUGUGUUGACCGGCAGCUGUUCCAAGGCCUGUUUUUCCCCACAUCUGGGAUGCUGAGCAAAAAAAACAA